Molecule: non-coding RNA, 29 nt
Filed under: Mus musculus (house mouse)
Lineage: Eukaryota; Metazoa; Chordata; Mammalia; Rodentia; Muridae
Source: RNAcentral
UAACUGUCCAUCUGCCAGACCUUCCUUGA